GUGUGUGUGUGUGUUUAACAGGGUGUGACGUCAGCCCUGUACGAGUACGCGUGUGAUUUCUCGGAAGCCCAUGAAGUCGACCGACAGACUAACAGCGAAAGUGAAAGAAAAAGAAUAUUGGGCUCAGACACAAACACGCUGUGACGUUUUGUAGACUUUGGCACCAGGAGAGAAAAACAUGAAAUUCGACGUUGAGACUGUCGCCGCGACAGAGACAGUCCCUGAACAGCGACAGCUGGGUCUGGAGACGGGGGAGACGGGCUCUGGAUCAUGGCUCUCCUCCCUCAGAGCAGCAGGUGCCGGAGCUGGGAGGACCCUCAGAGCUUUGUCACGCCCCCUUUGGAAUGCGGUGCUGUCCGUACCCCCAGUCCGCUGGUC
RNAcentral lists this long non-coding RNA (378 nucleotides) under Lepisosteus oculatus (spotted gar). Its description in RNAcentral is "lncRNA (ENSLOCG00000021583.1)". The record is from RNAcentral. Lineage: Eukaryota; Metazoa; Chordata; Actinopteri; Semionotiformes; Lepisosteidae.